This 96-nucleotide transfer RNA is filed under the name Nemania abortiva. RNAcentral's name for it is "tRNA-Glu". Lineage: Eukaryota; Fungi; Ascomycota; Sordariomycetes; Xylariales; Xylariaceae. The record is from RNAcentral.
UCCGAAUUGGUGUAGUGGCUAACAUUUGACGCUCUCAUCUUCGUUUCCAACGCAGACGGCGCCGUCAAGCCCGGGGUUCGAUUCCCCGAUUCGGAG